Molecule: ribosomal RNA, 501 nt
Filed under: uncultured bacterium
Lineage: Bacteria
Description: bacterial SSU rRNA
Rfam family: Bacterial small subunit ribosomal RNA
Source: RNAcentral
AAAGGAAUAGACGGGGGCCCGCACAAGCAGUGGAGCGUGUGGUUUAAUUCGACGCAACGCGUAGAACCUUACCAGGGCUUGACAUCGUAGUGCCAGUUGUAGAAAUACGAUUUUCCGUAGCAAUACGGACGCUAUGACAGGUGUUGCAUGGUUGUCGUCAGCUCGUGUCGUGAGAUGUUGGGUUAAGUCCCGCAACGAGCGCAACCCCUAUUCAGUGUUGCCACCGGGUAAUGCCGGGCACUCACUGGAGACUGCCGGAGACGAUCCGGAGGAAGGUGGGGAUGACGUCAAAUCAUCAUGGCCCUUAUGUCCUGGGCUACACACGCGCUACAAUGGCAGGUACAACGGGCAGCCAAGGGGUAACCCGGAGCAAAUCCCUUAAAGCCUGCCUCAGUUCAGAUUGAGGGCUGCAACUCGCCCUUAUGAAGAUGGAAUUGCUAGUAAUCGCGAAUCAGCUACGUCGCGGUGAAUACGUUCCCGGGCCUUGUACACACCGCCCGU